GUGUAAGUAUACAUAUUUAACUUUGAAACUGCGAAUGGCUCAUUAUAUCAGUUAUAGUUUAUUUGAUGAAAAGUACUACUUGGAUAACCGUAGUAAUUCUAGAGCUAAUACAUGAUAAAAUCCUCGACUUUGAAGAGGUGUAUUUAUUAGAAUGAAACCAAUAGACUUCGGUCUGUUUGUGAGUAAUAAUAACUAAUCGUAUCGCAUGCUUAGGUAGCGAUAUGUCUUUCAAGUUUCUGCCCUAUCAGCUUUGGAUGGUAGUGUAUUGGACUACCAUGGCAGUAACGGGUAACGAAGAAUUUGGGUUCGAUUUCGGAGAGGGAGCCUGAGAGAUGGCUACCACAUCCAAGGAAGGCAGCAGGCGCGUAAAUUACCCAAUCCUGACAUAGGGAGGUAGUGACAAUAAAUCACAAUGCGGAACUAUUAGUUUUGCAAUUGGAUUGAGAACAAUGUACAAAUGUUAUCGAUAAACAAUUGGAGGGCAAGUCUGGUGCCAGCAGCCGCGGUAAUUCCAGCUCCAAUAGCGUAUAUUAACGUUGUUGCAGUUAAAAAGCU
Molecule: ribosomal RNA, 555 nt
Filed under: Blastocystis sp.
Lineage: Eukaryota; Bigyra; Opalinata; Blastocystidae
Description: SSU rRNA
Rfam family: Eukaryotic small subunit ribosomal RNA
Source: RNAcentral